UACGUAGGUGGCGAGCGUUGUCCGGAUUUACUGGGCGUAAAGCGCGCGCAGGCGGGCUGGUCAGUCCGGGGUGAAAUCUCACGGCUCAACCGUGAGCGGUCCCCGGAUACUGCCAGUCUUGAGGUGUCUAGAGGAGAGCGGAAUUCCCGGUGUAGUGGUGGAAUGCGUAGAUAUCGGGAAGAACACCAGUGGCGAAAGCGGCUCUCUGGGGACCACCUGACGCUGAGGCGCGAAAGCGUGGGGAGCGAACCGGAUUAGAAACCCUCGUAGUCC
This 273-nucleotide ribosomal RNA is filed under the name uncultured bacterium. RNAcentral's name for it is "partial 16S ribosomal RNA". It matches the Rfam family "Bacterial small subunit ribosomal RNA", at positions 524 to 796 of the family's 1533-position model. The record is from RNAcentral.